AUGGCCAAAAGCAAACAGGAAAACGCUCAUCCAGAGGCAACGCUCCUAGUGGCCGUGGACUUAAAUGCACAGAAUCUCAAAUCCGUUUUACCUCAUUUCUACCAGCAUAUUAAAUGUGCAACCAGAGGGAAAAAAACUCUAGACCACCUUUAUUCCAUACACAGAGACGCGUACAAAGCUUUCCCUCGCCCUCCAUUUGGCAAAUCUGACCAUAAUUCUAUCCUUCUGAUUCCUGUUUACAAGCAAAAACUAAAGAAGGAAGCACCAGUGACUCGGUCAGUAAGAAAGUGGUCUGAUGAAGCAGAUGCUAAGCUACAGGAAUGUUUUGCUAACACAGAAUGGAAUAUGUUUCAGGAUUCUUCCGAUGGCAUUGAGGAGUACACCACAUCAGACACUGGCUUUAUCAAUAAGUGCAUCGAGGAUGUCAUCCCCACAGUGACUGUACGUACAUACAUCAACCAGAAGCCAUGGAUUACAGGCAACAUCCACACUGAACUAAAGGGUAGAGCUGCCGCUUUCAAGGUGCGGGACUCUAACUCGGAAGCUUAUAAGAAAUCCCGCUAUGCCCUCCGACAAACCAUCAAACAGGUAAAGCGUCAUUACAGGACUAAGAUUGAAUCAUACUACACCGGCUCUGAUGCUCGUCAGAUGUGGCAGGGCUUGCAAACUAUUACAGACCACAAAGGGAAGCACAGCCGCAAGCUGCUCAGUGACACAAGCCAACCAGACGAGCUAAAUUACUUCUAUGCUCACUUUGAGGCAAGCAAUACUGAAGCAUGCAUGAGAGCAUCAGCUGUUCCGGACAACUGUGUGAUCACGCUCUACGUAGCCGAUGUGAGUAAGACUUUUAAACAAGUCAACAUUCACAAGGCUGCAGGGCCAGAUGGAUUACCAGGAUGUGUACUCCGAGCAUGCGCUGACCAACUGGCAAGUGUCUUCACUGACAUUUUCAACCUGUCCCUGACUGAGUCUGUAAUACCAACAUAUUACAAGCAGACCACCAUAGUUCCUGUGCCCAAGAACACUAAGGUAACCUGCCUAAAUGACUACUGA
RNAcentral lists this long non-coding RNA (1053 nucleotides) under Salmo trutta (river trout). Its description in RNAcentral is "lncRNA (ENSSTUG00000019775.1)". Lineage: Eukaryota; Metazoa; Chordata; Actinopteri; Salmoniformes; Salmonidae. The record is from RNAcentral.